RNAcentral lists this ribosomal RNA (476 nucleotides) under uncultured bacterium. RNAcentral describes it as "bacterial SSU rRNA". It matches the Rfam family "Bacterial small subunit ribosomal RNA", at positions 20 to 518 of the family's 1533-position model. The record is from RNAcentral.
UGGCUCAGGACGAACGCUGGCGGCGUGCUUCAUACAUGCAAGUCGAACGAUAAGGUUCCUUCGGGAAUACAUAAGUGGCGGACGGGUGAGUAAUAUGUAGAGAAUCUGCCCUGAAGAGGGGGACAACAGAGGGAAACUUCUGCUAAUACCCAUAUGCGCGUAGUUGGGAUACUAUUCGUGAAAGAUUUAUCGCUUCAGGAUGAGUCUGCAUCUGAUUAGCUAGUUGGGGGUGUAAUGGACCACCAAGGCGACGAUCAGUAGCUGGUUUGAGAGGAUGAUCAGCCACAAUGGGACUGAGACACGGCCCAUACUCCUACGGGAGGCAGCAGUAGGGAAUUUUGCGCAAUGGGCGAAAGCCUGACGCAGCAACGCCGCGUGAUCGCAGACGGCCUUCGGGUUGUAAAGAUCUGUCAGCAGGGACGAACAAUGACUGUACCUGCAGAGGAAGCACCGGCUAACUCCGUGCCAGCAGCCGC